RNAcentral lists this ribosomal RNA (253 nucleotides) under uncultured bacterium. RNAcentral describes it as "partial 16S ribosomal RNA". It matches the Rfam family "Bacterial small subunit ribosomal RNA", at positions 524 to 776 of the family's 1533-position model. The record is from RNAcentral.
UACAGAGGGUGCAAGCGUUGUUCGGAUUUACUGGGCGUAAAGAGCGUGUAGGCGGCCAAGCAGGUCCGUUGUGAAAACUGGAGGCUUAACCUCCAGACGUCGACGGAAACCGCGCGGCUAGAGUCCGGAAGAGGAGAGUGGAAUUCCUGGUGUAGCGGUGAAAUGCGCAGAUAUCAGGAAGAACACCAAUGGCGAAGGCAGCUCUCUGGGACGGUACUGACGCUGAGACGCGAAAGCGUGGGGAGCGAACAGG